UUGACAUUAUAGUUCAAAUCUUAAGUUGGGUUAGAGCUUCAAAACUGUAAAUGCAGUUUCAGCAAAUGGGAUCUAAAACUACUUCAGUUAACUGAGUUAGACAAAAGUAAAGUCUACUUGAAGAAAAAGAGUGAAGAAGAAGAUAUGAUAUGAUAAAGAGCCCCAUGUGGAAGAAAAGAGUCUUUUUCUUUUUCUUUAAAGAGUGAGAGAGAAGCAAAAAUUAUGAAUUAUUAUGACAACUAGGGCCGGCGUCCGCGCUGCGCGCGGAUUACAUGUUUAAUAAAAAUCAGGGGAGAAGUUCGAAACGGUGAUCAUUUUUUAAAAAAAAACAACUGAAGUGGUAACGUAAAUGUUUUAAAAGUUGACUGGUGGUGUUUGCUAUGAGGCUUAGGAUAGCAGUUUAUUCCUCUUUUAGAAGCGUUGAAUGAUAUCAAUUUCGUUGUUAAAGUAGAAGCGCGUUCCAGGUGUUGCUGUGAGUGAUAGUUUUUCUGAAAAAGGCAAAUAUUUGUUAGCAUUUAGUUUUUUGUAAAGUUUAUGUUUAGUUUAUUACCUUCAUGUAUCCGUGGAAUGAUACUUGUGAUGAUUACGACUUGUUUUUUCCUUGUU
Brassica napus (rape) is the source of this 606-nucleotide long non-coding RNA. RefSeq lists it as uncharacterized. The record is from RefSeq and is a predicted model, not a curated record. Lineage: Eukaryota; Viridiplantae; Streptophyta; Magnoliopsida; Brassicales; Brassicaceae. The transcript has 3 exons.